RNAcentral lists this transfer RNA (74 nucleotides) under Mastocarpus papillatus. Its description in RNAcentral is "tRNA-Val". It matches the Rfam family "tRNA". Rfam says of the family: Transfer RNA (tRNA) molecules are approximately 80 nucleotides in length. Their secondary structure includes four short double-helical elements and three loops (D, anti-codon, and T loops). Further hydrogen bonds mediate the characteristic L-shaped molecular structure. tRNAs have two regions of fundamental functional importance: the anti-codon, which is responsible for specific mRNA codon recognition, and the 3' end, to which the tRNAs corresponding amino acid is attached (by aminoacyl-tRNA synthetases). tRNAs cope with the degeneracy of the genetic code in two manners: having more than one tRNA (with a specific anti-codon) for a particular amino acid; and 'wobble' base-pairing, i.e. permitting non-standard base-pairing at the 3rd anti-codon position. Lineage: Eukaryota; Rhodophyta; Florideophyceae; Gigartinales; Phyllophoraceae. The record is from RNAcentral.
GAACACAUAGCUCAGCCGGUUAGAGCAUUACGUUGACAUCGUAAAGGUCACUGGUUCGAAUCCAGUUGUGUUCA